Molecule: ribosomal RNA, 580 nt
Filed under: uncultured Actinomycetes bacterium
Lineage: Bacteria; Bacillati; Actinomycetota; Actinomycetes
Description: bacterial SSU rRNA
Rfam family: Bacterial small subunit ribosomal RNA
Source: RNAcentral
CUUCCACGGUUUCUGCGACUCAGCUAACGCAUUAAGUGCCCCGCCUGGGGAGUACGAUCGCAAGAUUAAAACUCAAAGGAAUUGACGGGGCCCCGCACAAGCAGCGGAGCAUGCGGCUUAAUUCGACGCAACGCGAAGAACCUUACCAAGGCUUGACAUAUACAGGAAUAUGGCAGAGAUGUCAUAGCCGCAAGGUCUGUAUACAGGUGGUGCAUGGUUGUCGUCAGCUCGUGUCGUGAGAUGUUGGGUUAAGUCCCGCAACGAGCGCAACCCUCGUUCUGUGUUGCCAGCAUUUAGUUGGGGACUCACAGGAGACUGCCGGGGUCAACUCGGAGGAAGGUGGGGAUGACGUCAAAUCAUCAUGCCCCUUAUGUCUUGGGCUGCACGCAUGCUACAAUGGCUGGUACAAAGGGCUGCAAUACUGCAAAGUGGAGCGAAUCCCAAAAAGCCAGUCUCAGUUCGGAUUGGGGUCUGCAACUCGACCCCAUGAAGUCGGAGUUGCUAGUAAUCGUAGAUCAGCAACGCUACGGUGAAUACGUUCCCGGGGCUUGUACACACCGCCCGUCACAUCACGAAAGUC